Molecule: ribosomal RNA, 440 nt
Filed under: uncultured bacterium
Lineage: Bacteria
Description: partial 16S ribosomal RNA
Rfam family: Bacterial small subunit ribosomal RNA
Source: RNAcentral
CCUACGGGUGGCAGCAGUGGGGGAUAUUGCACAAUGGGGGGAACCCUGAUGCAGCGACGCCGCGUGGGUGAAGAAGCGCCUCGGCGCGUAAAGCCCUGUCAGCAGGGAAGAAAAUGACGGUACCUGAAGAAGAAGCCCAGGCUAACUAGGUGCCAGCAGCGGCGGUAAUACGUAGGAGGCAAGCGUUAUCCGGAUUGACUGGGUGUAAAGGGGGCGUAGACGGGGUUGCAAGCCAGGAGUGAAAGCCCCGGGCCCAACCCCGGGACUGCUCUUGGAACUGCGUGGCUGGAGUGCAGGAGGGGCAGGCGGAAUUCCUGGUGUAGCGGUGAAAUGCUUAGAUAUCAGGAGGAACACCAGUGGCGAAGGCGGCCUACUAGACUGCAACUGACGUUGAGGCCCGAAAGCGUGGGGAGCAAACAGGAUUAGAUACCCUUGUAGUC